CAGGUUCGAAUCCUGCCUCGGGCGUGGAUGUGUGUGAUGUCCUUAGGUUAGUUAGGUUUAAGUAGUUCUAAGUUCUAGGGGACUGAUGACCACAGAUGUUAAGUCCCGUAGUGCUCAGAGCCACUUGAACCAUUUUGAACAAUGUAACACUGGAAUUUGCUUAAUUUUUUAGCUCUUCCAGGAGCUCCUCGACAGAAUAGAAGGAGUGAGCCAUGAGGAAACUCUUCAGUUUAGACUUAAAUGAAUUUGGGCUACUGCUAAGAUUUUUGAGUUCUUGUGGUAGCUUAUUGAAACUGAUGCAGCAGAAUACUGCACUCCUUUCUGCACAAGAGUCAAGGAAGUGCAUUCCACAUGCAGAUUGGAUUUCUGCCUAGUAUUAACUGAGUGAAAGCUGCUAACUCUUGGGAAUAGGCUAAUAUUGCUAACAACAAACGACAUUAAAGAAAAUACAUACUGCGAGGGCAAUGUCAGAAUUCCCAGACUAUUGAAUAGGGGUCAACAAGAGGUUCUCGAACUUACACCACACAUAGCUCGAACAGCCUGUUUUUGGGCCAAAAAUACCCCUUUUGAAUCAGAAGAAUUACCCCAAAAAAUAAUACCAUAUGACAUAAGCGUAUGAAAAUACGCGAAGUAGACUUCUUUUCAUGUUGAAAUGUCACUUAUUUCAGAUACUGUUCUAAUGGUAAAUAAAGCAGCAUUUAGUUUCUGAACAAGAUCCUGGACAUGGGCUUUCCACAACAGCUUACUAUCUAUCUGAACACCUAAGAACUUGAACUCUUCUGUCUCACUUAUAAUAUGCCCAUUUUGUCUGAUCAAAAUAUCGGUUCUUGUUGAAUUGUGAGUUAGAAACUGUAAAAACUGAGUCUUACUGUGAUUUAGCAUCAAAUUAUUUUCCUCAAGCCACGAACUUUUCAUGAACUACAUUAUUUGAUAAUGUUUCAAUAUUACACACAAGAUCCUUCACUACCAAGCUGGUGUCAUCAGCAAACAGAAAUAUUUUAGAAUCACCUGUAAUACUAGAAGGCAUAUCAUUUAUAUAAAUAAGAAACAGCAGUGGCCCCAGCACCGACCCAUGGGGAACGCCCCACUUAACAGUGCCCCAUUGGGACUGAACAUCACUACCACUCUCAAUAUUGCGGAGAAUUACCUUCUGCUUUCUGUUCUUAAAGUAAGAGGCGAACCAAUUGUAAGCUACUCCCCUUACUUCAUAAUGGUCCAACUUCUGCAGUAAUAUUUUGUGGUCAACACAGUCAAAAGCCUUCGUUAAAUCAAAGAAAACACCUAGCGUUCGCAACCUUUUAUUUAAUCCAUCCAAAACCUCACAGAGAAAAGAGAAUAUAGCAUCUUCAGUUGUUAAACCAUUUCUAACACCAAACUGAACAUUUGACAGCAAAUUAUGUGAAUUUAAAUGCUGCAGUAACCGUGUAUAUACGACCUUCUCGGUAACUUUAGCAAACACCGAUGGCAUAGAAAUAGGUCUAAAAUUGUCAACAUUAUCAAUGUCUCCCUUUUUAUAAAGUGGCUUCACUACCGAGUACUUUAAUCGGUCAGGAAAGUGACCACUCCUAAAGGAAAAGUUACAGAUAUGGCUAAGUACUGGGCUAACAUACAUAGAACAAUACUUCAGUAUUCUGCUAGAUACCCCAUCAUAUCCAUGAGAGCUCUUGGUCUUUAGUGAUUUAAUUAUUAACUCAAUCUCCCUCUUGUCAGUAUCAUGGAGGAGCAUUUCAGGUAACAGUCUCGGAACACUUUUUUCUAAGAGCGCUAUAUGAUUCCCUGUUGGGACUAGGUUUCUAUUUAGUUCACCUGCUAUAUUCAGAAAGUGAUUAUUAAAUAUAUGCAUUAUUAAAUAUACACACAUAUAUGCGACUUAUCAGUAACACGGACAUUCCCACUACGCACUGAUUCUGUAUCCUCAACCUGUCUCUGCAGACCAGCCACUUCCUUUACGACUGACCAUAUGGUUUUAAUUUUAUCCUGAGAAUUAGCUACUCUACCUGCAUACCACAUACUUUUUGCCUUCCUAAUAACAUUUUUAAGCACCUUACAAUACUACUUGUAUUGGUCUGCUGCAUUUAGAUUUUGACUGUUUCUAACGUUUUGAUAUAAUUGCCACUUUGUUCUACAAGAUAUUCUUAUCCCCCCCGAGUCAGCCACCCAGGCUGCCUGUUUGUGCUAGUACCCUGUUUUGAACGUUCUAAUGGAAAGCAACUUUCAAAGAGCACGAGAAAAGUCUUGAGAAAAGCAUUAUAUUUAUUGUCUACUGUAUCAGCGCUAUAAACAUCUUGCUACUCUUGUUCCUUGAUAAGGUUUACAGAGGUCUCUACAGCUACUGGAACAGCUUUCCUAAACAGCUGAUGACUAUAUUUAACACGUCUUGCGGCACAAAAAUCUUUUAGAGUUAAAAUUUGUGCAUCAUGAUCUGAAAGGCCAGUCACCUUUUUGCUAACAGAAUGCCCUUCUAGUAAUGAGGAAUGAACAAAAAUGUUGUCUUUGCACGAACUUUUCAAACGCCCCUCGUAUGUCAAGUGUACGUAACAGACAUUCACCAAAGAGGACUGUGACGAAAAUUAGGAGACGACAGCUGCAAAAGGCACCGCAGAACUGAAUGUUGCACUUGUGAACACUGUCAGUGACAAAACAGUGUAAAGGGAGCUCCCAAAACAGGGAAUUGCAUGGCAAGCUGGAAUUCCAAAACCACUCACCAGUGAUGCAAAUGUCCGUAACAAAAAACGUGGUGCCGGAGCCAUAAAACUUGGGAUAUGCAGCAAAGGAAUGAAGUAAUUUGCUUUGGUGAGUCUUUCACACUGUUUCCAAUUUCUGUUCAAGUUUAAAUCCCAAAGAGCAAAAUGUGUAGGGGGUUUGCUAAUGAUUUGAGCAGCUAUACUGCAGUAUUCGAUGGGCCUCACAAGGGAUUUGCAAGGUCGCGUGACUGCCGAUAUUUAUUUUACCAUUUUGGCUAAUCAGGUGCAUCUCGUGGUACAGUGUUUGUUUCCUAAUUGCGAUGCUGUGUUGAGAGACGGCAGGACCCCUCUUCACACAGCUUGCAUCGUCCAGGACUAGUUUUGUGAGCACGAGGAUGAAUUGUCGCAUCUCUACUCACCACCACAGUGACCGGAUCCCGAUAUGGCAUAUCCUUUGUUGUCUGCUUUGGAAAGAAGGGUGCGUGAUCACUGUCUGCCUCUACCGUCAGGGCGACUGGUAUAAGAUUAUCUGGAAAAUCAUACAGGACCUGGAUUUAUUCGUUGAGAUAUGACUGGAAUAUGUUUUGAAUGCCCACAGUUUUCCUACAGCUUGUUAGGUGUGGAAAUGUGUGUUGUGUUUGUGGUGUUUCCAUAUUUGUGUCCACCUCCUGUGUGUAAAAGACAAGUGAAACCUCAGCUACACUAUGUGAUCAGAAGUCUACGGACACCUUGCUGAAAAUGACUUAAAAGUUCAUGGAACUCUCCAUCGGUAACGCUGGAAUUCAGUAUGAUGUUGGCCCACCCUUAGCCUUGAUGACAGCUUCCACUCGCAGGAAGGUUUCAUGGGGAAUGGCAGCCUAUUCUUCACGAAGUGCUGCACAGUGGAGAGGUAUUAAUGUCAAUGUUCCAAAACAUCCCUAAGGUAUUUGUAGGAUUCUGGUCAUGACUCUGUGCAGGCCAGUCCAUUACAGGGAUGUUAUUGUCAUGUAACCACUCAGCCACAGGCCGUGCAUUAUGAACAGGUUGCUCGAUCGUGUCAAAAGAUGCAGUCGCCGUCCCCCGAAUUGCUCUUCAACCGUGGGAAGCGAGAAGGUGCUUAAAACAUCAAUGUAGGCCUGUGCUGUGAUAGUGCCACGCAAAACAAUGAGGGGUGCAAGCUCCCACCAGGAAAAACACGACCACAACGUAACACCACCGCUUCCGAAUUUUACUGUUGCCACUACUCACGCUGGCAGAUGAACUUCACCGGGCAUUCGCCAUACACAUACCCUGCCGUCGGAUUGCCACAUUGUGUAUCAUGAUUCGUUACUCCACACAAUGUUUUUUCCACUGUUCAAUUGUCCAAUGUUUACACUCCUUACACCGAGCGAGGCAUUGUUUAGUCUUUAUCCGGCGUAAUGCGUGGCUUAUGAGCAGCCACUUGACCAAGAAAUCCAAGUUUUCUCACCUCCCUCCUAACUGUCAUAGUACUUGCAAUGGAUCCUGAUGCAGUUUGGAAUUCCUUUGUGAUGGUCUAGAUAGAUGUCUGCCUAUUACCCAUUACAACCCUCUUUAACAGUCAAUGGUCUCUGUCAGUAAACAGAUGAGGUUGGCCUGAAUGCUUUUGUGCUGUACGUGUCCCUUCACGUUUCCACUUUACUGUCACAUCGGAAAUGGUGAACCUAGGGAUGAUGUUAAGGAGUGCAAAAAUUUUGGGUACAGAUGUAUGACACAAGUGACACCCAAUAACCUGACCAGGUUCAAAGUCCAUGAGUUCCGGAGCGCCCCAUUCUGCUCUCUCACGAUGUCAAAUGACUACUGAGGUCUCUGAUAUUGAGUACCUAGCAGUAGGUGGCAGCACAAUACACCUAAUAUGAAAAACGUAUGUUUUUGCAGGGGUGCGGAUACUUUUGAUCACAUAGUGUAUAAAUGACAGACAUAAGGUGCUGCAUUACAACAUGAUUAGGAGCCAGACUACAAUCAUGGCUGCCACUGCAGAUUUUCUUAGAAUGAUGUUAAUCACAGAUUUUUUAAAUUCCUUCACCAAAAAAGAUAAAGUAAAUUUUUCAGAAUUUGAAUCAAGAACAGCUGCCAACAUGAGUAACUUAGCAGUUAGAUAUCUUCGGUAAAGCAAAGCAGCUGAAAUUGCUUAACCAAAGCAAGUCUUCUGGUCCAGAUAGUACAUCAGUUAGCUACCUUUAAGACUAUGCUGAAAUAUUAGCUGCAUUCUUGACAAAAAUUCUUACACCCGCUUGGUCAAUGAAAGAUCUGUACCUCAAGACUGUGACACCAGUACUCAAGAAAGGAAACUGAAGUAAUCUGCUAAGCUGCAGGCCCACAUCACUGACACUGAUUUACAGUAUUAUUUUAGAACUGUUGUCAAAAGUUAUGAAUUACCUCGAAGAAAAUGAUCUGUUCACACACAGCUAGCAGGGUCUAGGAAAUAUCAUUUCUGUGGAACGCAACUAGCUCUUUAUUCACACGAAAUAAUGAGUGUCAUCGACGGGGGAUCUCAAAUUAAUUGUAUAUCUGUAGAUUUUCAGAGAGCUUUUGACACCAUUGCUCACAAUCAACUUCAAACCAAAUUGUGUUUCUAUGGAGUAUUGUCUCAGUGUGCAACUACAUUUGUGAUUUCAUGUCAAAAAAGUCACAGUUAAUAGUAAAUGAUGAAAAAUAAUAGAGUAAAACAUGACAUUCUUCACUGAAGUGUUACAGGUGAUCUGCUGCUCCCAAUCUACACAAAUGAUUUAGUAGACAAUCUGAGCAGCGCUCCUAGAUUGUUUGCAGAUAAUGCUAUCGUUUACCAUCUAGUAAAAUCAGAAGGUUACAACUGAUUGCAAAGUGAUUUAGACAAGAUACCUGCGUGGAGCAAAAAGUGGCAGUUGACUCUAAAUAAUGAAAAAUGUGAGGUUAUCCACUUGCAGACAAAAAGGAGUAUGCUAAAUUUCGGUUACACAAUAAAUCACGCAAAUCUAAACACUGUCUGUUCAACUAAAUACAUAGGAAUUACUGCUAUGAACAACAUAAACUGGAAGAUCAAUUACAUAGAUAACAUUGUGGGAAGGUGAGCCAAAGAGUGUGUUUUAUUGGCAGAACACUUAAGAGUGUGCAACAGGUGUGCUAAAGAGAGUGCCUGCACUAUGCUUAUCUUUCCUCUUCUGGAGUCUUGCUGGUUGACACAGGAUGCUUACCAGAUAGCACUGACAGUCCAAAGGAGAGCUGCUCAUUUUGUGUUAUCGUGAAAUAAGGGAGGAGGGGAGUGUCACGGGUAUGAUACUCAAGUUGGGGUGGCAGUCAUUGAAUGGAAGGCAGUUCUUAUUGUGGAGAGAUCUUUUCAAAGAAUUUCAAUCACCAAUUUUCUCUUCCAAAUGCAAAAUAUUUUUUUGAUGCCCACCAGCACAGGGAGAAAUGGUCAUAGUGAUAAAAUAAGAGGAAUCAGAGCUCACACGGGAAUACUUAUUUAUUCGUUUUACCUACAUUUUUCCUGAGUGUGGAACAGUAGAGAAAUAGUCUGAAGGUGGUGCAAUGAACCCUCCACCAAGCAUUUAAAUGUAAAUCACAGAUUAGUCAUGUAGACAUACUUCCGAUGUGUAUUUAUAUUGUCUGAGAAACAAAAUAGUCCAUUGUCACACAUGUAAUGCUCUCUCGCUCACUACAUGCAAGUAUAUGUCUUCGUGGACUGCUGAAAGAGCUGAUAUUUUUGUGUUUCAUAUAAAACUACAUUUUAUUUUUAUGGUUAUAAAAUAUGUAACAAAAAGACUAACCAAUUUUUUAAAAACUGACUGAUGUACAAAGAUGUUCUUUGAAAUAAACAAAUUCCUCCAGC
Long non-coding RNA from Schistocerca serialis cubense, 6489 nucleotides. RefSeq lists it as uncharacterized. The record is from RefSeq and is a predicted model, not a curated record. The transcript has 2 exons. Lineage: Eukaryota; Metazoa; Arthropoda; Insecta; Orthoptera; Acrididae.